Anneissia japonica is the source of this 922-nucleotide long non-coding RNA. RefSeq lists it as uncharacterized. The record is from RefSeq and is a predicted model, not a curated record. NCBI's taxonomy places the organism in Eukaryota, Metazoa, Echinodermata, Crinoidea, Comatulida, Comatulidae. The transcript is spliced from 2 exons.
UUAAAUUUAGACGUGGAAUGAAAAUCAAAAAUUUAUUGUCAUCAGUCGUUAUAGAAACUAAAUAAACAAAUACAUUAGUUUUCGAGGAAAUAGUGAACAUUAUAACAAACAGAAUUUUAUUCUUAGACACUGCAUUGAAUUUGGACGGUUUCAUACUGAAUUGAGACUAUAAAAGUUACAAAGGAAGCAACAUUGUAAGAACUUCUAACCAACGCCUGUAGAAGCUUUCAGAGGAGCCACGAACCAAAGGAAAAUAUGGAAUACGUUUGGCUGUUUUUCUGCACAGUAAUUUGCGUACAUUUUAAUCUCGUCACCAAUACAAAUACAACAAACAGCACCAUCACUAUGCCCUUACUUACUAGUAGGCCUACUGCAGCCAUUACAACUAGGCCUACUGCAGCCAUUACAACAAUUGCAACCACACCAUCACCGAAAACUGGAGACACCACAACUACGCUUGAUGACACAGCAGAGUGGAAUACAACCACACCAGACAAUAGAUCCAACAGACUAUCUGGUGGUGCUAAAGCCGGCAUUAUUUGUGCUUCAAUAUUUGUAUAUUUUGCGGGAUUGUGAUUGUUGUACUAUGUUGUAAAGUAAUGAAAAAUCUAGCCCAAAUAACACCACAGGCUUAAACAUUUACUUAGAAGCCGUACAAAAAAAAAAAUUACCCAGAAUAUGUUCGAUAUGUUUUUUGUGGUAGAAGUAGUAAUAGAAUUUAAGGUGUUUGAAACAUUUAAUUGCGGUAAUUAAGUUUGGGAAUUGGAUGAACAUUUUCCAACAGAAAGUUUUGGGUUUUGGCUCUAUCAUCAUAAAUAUCAUCAUCAAAUUGACUGCCUUCAUCAUUAUCCUUAUCAUAAUAAGCAGCAGCAUCACUGUGCCCCAUUAUUUCACUAAAAAAAAAAACAAAAAAAAAAAACAA